Molecule: ribosomal RNA, 482 nt
Filed under: uncultured bacterium
Lineage: Bacteria
Description: partial 16S ribosomal RNA
Rfam family: Bacterial small subunit ribosomal RNA
Source: RNAcentral
AUUGAACGCUGGCGGCAUGCCUUACACAUGCAAGUCGAACGGUAACAGGUCUUCGGAUGCUGACGAGUGGCGAACGGGUGAGUAAUACAUCGGAACGUGCCCGAUCGUGGGGGAUAACGAAGCGAAAGCUUUGCUAAUACCGCAUACGAUCUACGGAUGAAAGCGGGGGAUCUUCGGACCUCGCGCGGACGGAGCGGCCGAUGGCAGAUUAGGUAGUUGGUGGGAUAAAAGCUUACCAAGCCGACGAUCUGUAGCUGGUCUGAGAGGAUGAUCAGCCACACUGGGAUUGAGACACGGCCCAGACUCCUACGGGAGGCAGCAGUGGGGAAUUUUGGACAAUGGGCGCAAGCCUGAUCCAGCCAUGCCGCGUGCAGGAUGAAGGCCUUCGGGUUGUAAACUGCUUUUGUACGGAACGAAAAGGUGCCUUCUAAUAAAGGGCGCUCAUGACGGUACCGUAAGAAUAAGCACCGGCUAACUACGUG